RNAcentral lists this long non-coding RNA (5497 nucleotides) under Manihot esculenta (cassava). Its description in RNAcentral is "long non-coding RNA (MESC_LNC002062)". The stretch from base 2775 to 2923 matches the Rfam family "Eukaryotic large subunit ribosomal RNA", at positions 2826 to 2984 of the family's 3401-position model. The record is from RNAcentral. Lineage: Eukaryota; Viridiplantae; Streptophyta; Magnoliopsida; Malpighiales; Euphorbiaceae.
CAGAACAAAACGGCAAAAGCGCAGGCCAUCAGAUGGAUGCUCGAAAUGUAUGAAAGACCACGGGAAGUUCUUUGUUCGUUUCAGUUAGGGCAAUGGAAGAAGAAGAAGACCAUUUAGCAUUGCCAUCUUCGUCGGCUUGAUAAUUUACUUUUCAGAUCUCACGGUGAAGAAUAUAUCAGCUACUGAUCCUGGUAAAACCUAAAGCUAAGCUCUUUCCCGGUGUAGCCUGCAAUGUUUGGUUUUUUCCGUUCAAGGUUACAAUUAAAUAAUAUUUUUCCUCUUUUUGUUUCAAAUGCUCAACUGGGUGUUCUUCCUUUUCAGUCAAUAUUCGUAAUCAGAUCCUUUUCAUCUAUCAAAUCUUCUAAUUUGAAUGAUCGCUCAUUUACAGUUUCUUAUCUCGUAAAUUCAUGUGGAUUAACCCUAAACUCUGCUCAAACUAUCUCUAAGAGGGUAUGUCUUAAAACCCCUGAAGGACCAGAAUCAGUACUUAGGCUUCUCAGAGAACAUGCCUUCACCAAUUCCCAAAUCUCCAGUGUUGUUAAGAUGAAGCCCAUAGUGCUUUUACUUCAUUCUGAAAGGACUCUUUUGCCCAAACUUGAGUUUCUGUAUUCUAUUGGUGUUUCAAGAGAAGAGCUUCCAAUAAUUGUUUCUAAGAAUCCAGAAUUGUUGUGUAGAAGUAUAGAGCGAUAUCUGUCCCCACAUUAUCAUAUCCUCAAAAGUGUACUUGUUUGUGAUGAAAAAGUGAUUAAGAGUAUGAAACGCUGGUUAAAAGCUUCUAUAGUGCUUUCGAAGAACGACUUUUUUGCCAAUUUAUCACUCUUAAGAGGGCUUCGAAUUCCUCAGUCUUCCAUCUCUGUAUUGGUCAUCUAUCAUCCCAUGAUUAUGUGCCUAAAAGCUUUGCAUUUUGCUGAAGGUGUUAAGAAAAUUAUUAAAACAGGAUUUGAUCCUUCAGAAGUCAAAUUUGUUAAGGCGCUCAAUAUUUUGCUUGGAAUGACGCAGAAAACAUGGGAUCAUAAAAUGGAGGCUUUCAAGAGGUGGGGUUUUUCUGAAGAAGAGAUUUGGUCAAUUUUCAGAAAGAGUCCCUCGGCUAUGGCUAUAUCUGAAACGAAUCUUAUGCGUAAAAUGAAUUUUUUUGUAUGCAAGAUGGGUUGGCAGCCUGCUGCUGUUGGUAGAGUUCCAGUUGUUCUGGCCUAUGGUUUGGAAUCUAGGAUUAUGCCUAGAUGUUCAGUUGUGAGAGUUUUGCUUUUGAAGGGUUUGAUCAAGGAUGAUAUCCCGAUACCCUCGAUCUUGACCAGCUGCGAAAAAAGCUUCUUGCAAAGAUUUGUGAACAAGUAUCAAGAUCAGGUGCCCCAAUUGUUGGAUAUUUUCCAAGGAAAGAUGGGGCUCACAGAACUUGAGUUUGAUUUUGAUGAUAAACCUGCAAUUUUGUAUUAGGAAAUAUGUAGCAUGCAGUGUCAAUCUAGGGAUUUCCAUUUGGUGAUCUUUUAUGAUUUGGUCCCUUAAUGGUGAACUAGCAAAGCUUGUAUGAGUAGCAUUGUUAACUUGUCAUUAUUAUCUUAGAGGAUUACUUUUGAUAGUUUAGUUUAUUACAUUUUCAUUUAAAGGUACUACUUCACAGAACUGAUGAUAUGAGUAGCUUUGAGAACUAAAUUUCACUUUUCAAUCCUGUCUUGGUCCUUGGAUGGCUUUUUUUUGCCCUGAUCGUUCGGUCAAUUACUUCAACUAUUAAGCUUUGAGUGCUUGCUUAUAUUUUGUGUUUUGUAAGAGAAAGAUGAUGGCUGAUUGGCUUCCCUUUCUUCAGAUUCGACCUAAAGAUAAAUUGGGGUGCAUUAAAUUGUUAUCCAAAACUAUGUAGCUUGUUGAAGCUUGCUAAAUUGUGUAGAAAAGAAUCAAGGGUUUAUGCCUAUGGGAAGGGGUAUAAACAGUAGCAAAUAUGUUAAGCAGGAACACUAAGUGGAGUGCUCUAAAGCUAUUAUGUCUUUAUAGAGGAUAUAGAAAGUGUCAUAUGUACUAAGCAGGGAUUGAAAAAAUUGCAUCUUGAUUCUCUUAACCAUGUAGAUUUGCAUUUCUGGCUUACCCUUUUUUUUUUUGUUAAAUGAUAGACGCACACUGACCGUAGCUACUGCAUUAAGUUAAGACCUUGAUGGAUGUGAGAUUUCAAAGGACUGGGUUUUCGAGAUUUCAAAGGACCGGCUCAUGGGGCACGCCCCCGAAGGAAGCUCACUCUAUUUGUCUAGGAAACAGGUGGGGUUGUUCUGCACCUAUGAAUAUAUGAUAUAAAUACGUAGAGUUGAAUGUUAGUUUCACUUUCUUUUUAUAUUAUAGAUCCAUAUGAAUCCUUUUUUCCAGCGAAACGUCAAAUUUUCCUCCAAAUUCUAGGGCAGCCUCCUUACUUGGUAACAACUGGAAGAUGUGCAGCUCCAUUAUACUUGCUUUUCAAAACUUAGACCAAUAGAGCUGUUGGCUUCUCCACCAGCUCCCCACACAAUUUAAUUAUACAAGCACAAUUUAAUGCAUAUGAAUUUUUUUAUAUAUAAUUUAACUAUUUAGUCCUGUAUCACUGAAAUUUUCAUUAUUUAAUUUUUUUUUAAAAAUAUAUAUAUAUUAAAAUGUUUAUAAAUUUUAAAAUAUUUAGUAAUUAAUUUUUUAUUAAUUUUAUUUUAGUUGUUAAAUAAUUAUUCUCUAAUAUUUUAGACUUUUUAUAAUAUUUAAUAGUUAAAAUUAAUAGAUAAAUUAAUUAAUAAACUUUUUAAAAUGUCUAAGUUACUACGAGAAUAAUUGAUUUGUGGCAGUUAAGUGUUCGUAACGACGUUAAUUUUUUAUCCUUUCAUAUAGGCUUUUUUUAUUAUUGUCAAGUAAAAUUCAUCGAGUGUUAGAUUGUUUAUCACCAUUAAAAAUCGUGAGCCAUUUAUAAACUAAAAUCUCAAAACUCAGUACACAUUACAUAACACGUAAAUGUCAUGUUCACAUCUUGCAUCAACAUUCAUUUGACACACUCGAUCAUUAGAAUCAAUUAUCGGAUCAUUUUCUGUUUUAAACUAAUUUUAAAAAUUGAGAAACUAAUUCACGAAUUGAGUGAUGACUGAGCGCGAAUAUGCAACAUUAAUCAAUUGACACUUGAAGUUCGUGAACACUUUCGGUGCAGUCAAGUCUUGCUUCGACUAUGAUGCGAGCGCACCUAUUGGCCUCUCUACACCCUUAAUGAAAGAUCAGUUUCCAAUCUAAAUUACGCACAUAGCAAUAGGCAUAAAUAUGGACAGCAGGUUAUUGAGGGUAAGAGAGUCGCCUGAUCUUCUUGUUUUCUCCCAAUUUAAAGCAUUUAAAUUUUAAAAUUCUAACAACCUAAUAGCUGUGAUUAUGCAAGCGAGAGAGAUAAUAUUUAGACCAACUCAUAAGAUAUUACUUGGCUUUAUCAAUGAUAUAGCUACAAAUAUCUUGUAAAUCGCUCAAAUGUAAAAGAGGAACUACAAGGAAUCUACCAACAUCAUUUGUCUACAUGACUUCAAGCCAUCUACUUAAAUUCUUCAUAAUUGAGCAGCUACAUCAUUAAAGAAGAGAAAAAUAUUAGAAAAAAAGUGAUCCUACAACACAUUAAAGAGAGAAAAUAAUAAUUAAUAUUAAUAUAAUAACUAUAUUUCAACUAAUAAAAUAAAUAUUAUUAAAAAGUGACUUAAAAAAUGAUUGUUGUUGGAAUUUUUCUAAAAUAAAAAAACUCGAGUCUUAGGAAGCUGACUCAUUCACACAAACUAUUACAAAAAUUAUCUAACACUCUUUUAAUUUACAUCUAAUAAAAUAUUUAUAUAUUUGGAAUUUGACCGUAACGCACGCUAAGAUUUAACACUCUUCACACAAGUGUCAUAUUGAUUUAUUUUUCUCUUUUUAAAAGAGUCUAUGCUUAUUAUAUAAGCGUUAGGCCCGAGUCGAUUGACAUUUUUAUCCGCACAAAAAAAGCGGACGCUUCAAUCUUUCCUCCCCUAUUCUACCUCGCCCAUCAUUCUAAUAAAAUUUAACUCUUUUCAUAUUCAAUUUUUUAAAGUAAAUUAUUUAGUAGAAUAAUAUUUAGCUUAGUAAUAUAAUUAUUAUCUUAUAUUUUAAUUAACUUUUAUACUUUAUUUAGAAGUAAUUAAUUUGUAUAUUAGAUCAUUUAUUUCUAAUAAAAAUUUAUUGUGUUUUUAUCAAUAGAUGAUAAUUAUUUAUAUAUUGUCGAAAGUGUUAAGGUUAAUUAUAUAUUGAUUUAUUGUAUUUUCUCUAAUUAUUUUUUUUUCAUACUAUAUACACAAAAAUUAAUUAUAUAUUGAUUUUAAAAUUUAGUUAAAAAUAUAUCUAAAUGAAAAGAUUUGAAUAAUAAAUUUAAAAUUUAAAUAUUUAAAUUAAAAUGUAAAAGCAUAACAACAAGCGACAUUUAGGGUGUAUCUACUUAUAUAAAAUAAUUUUCAGUUUUCUAUUUUAUAAGAAAACUGUAAUUUUCAUUUUUUUUUUUAUAGAAAAUAAGUGUUCUUAGAAAAUAUACUUCUCAGUAAAUUGAGAACACACGCAUAUAUAUAUAUAUAUAGUGCAAACAGAACGAAACGGCCAUAAACGCAGGCCAUCAGAUGGAUGCUCGAAAUGUAUGAAAGACCACGGGAAGUUCUUCGUUCGUUUAAGUUAGGGAAAUGGAAGAAGAAGAAGGCCAUUUAGCAUUUAGCCAUCUUCAUCGGCUUGAUAAUUUACUUUUCAGAUCUCACGAUGGAGAAUAUCUCAGCUACUGAUCCUGGUAAACCCUAAAGCUAAGCUCUUUCCCGGUGUAGCCUGCAAUGUUUGGUUUUUUCCGUUCAAGGUUACAAUUAAAUAAUAUUUUUCCUCUUUUUGUUUCAAAUGCUCAACUGGGUGUUCUUCCUUUUCAAUCAAUAUUCGUAAUCAGAUCCUUUUCAUCUAUCAAAUCUUCUAAUUUGAAUGAUCGCUCAUUUACAGUUUCUUAUCUCGUAAAUUCAUGUGGGUUAACCCUAAAAUCUGCUCAAACUAUCUCUAAGAGGGUAUGUCUUAAAACUCCUGAAGGACCAGAUUCAGUACUUAGGCUUCUCAGAGAACAUGCCUUCACCAAUUCCCAAAUCUCCAGUGUUGUUAAGAUGAAGCCCAUAAUGCUUUUACUUCAUCCUGAAAGGAUUCUUUUGCCCAAACUUGAGUUUCUGUAUUCUAUUGGUGUUUCAAGAGAAGAGCUUUCAAUAAUUGUUUCUAAGAAUCCAGAAUUGUUGUGUAGAAGUAUAGAGCGAUAUCUGUCCCCACAUUAUCAUAUCCUCAAAAGUAUACUCGUUUGUGAUGAAAAAGUGAUUAAGAGUAUGAAACGCUUGUUAAAAGCUUCUAUAGUGCUUUCGGAGAGCGAUUUUUUUGCCAAUUUAUCACUCUUAAGAGGGCUUCAAAUUCCUCAGUCUUCCAUCUCUGUGUUGGUCACCUAUCAUCCCAUGAUUAUGUGCGUAAAAGCUUUGAAUUUUGCUGAAGGUGUUAAGAAAAUUAUUAAAAC